GGGUAAAAUCCGUAGAUAUCACCAAGAAUACCCAUUGCGAAGGCGAUCUGCUGGAACUCAACUGACGCUAAGGCGCGAAAGCGUGGGGAGCAAACAGGAUUAGAUACCCUGGUAGUCCACGCCCUAAACGAUGUACACUAGUUGUUGGGGUGCUAGUCAUCUCAGUAAUGCAGCUAACGCAUUAAGUGUACCGCCUGGGGAGUACGGUCGCAAGAUUAAAACUCAAAGGAAUAGACGGGGACCCGCACAAGCGGUGGAGCAUGUGGUUUAAUUCGAAGAUACGCGAAGAACCUUACCUGGGCUUGAUAUCCUAAGAACCUUUUAGAGAUAAGAGGGUGCUAGCUUGCUAGAACUUAGAGACAGGUGCUGCACGGCUGUCGUCAGCUCGUGUCGUGAGAUGUUGGGUUAAGUCCCGCAACGAGCGCAACCCACGUAUUUAGUUGCUAACGGUUCGGCCGAGCACUCUAAAUAGACUGCCUUCGUAAGGAGGAGGAAGGUGUGGACGACGUCAAGUCAUCAUGGCCCUUAUGCCCAGGGCGACACACGUGCUACAAUGGCAUAUACAAUGAGACGCAAUACCGCGAGGUGGAGCAAAUCUAUAAAAUAUGUCCCAGUUCGGAUUGUUCUCUGCAACUCGAGAGCAUGAAGCCGGAAUCGCUAGUAAUCGUAGAUCAGCCAUGCUACGGUGAAUACGUUCCCGGGUCUUGUACUCACCGCCCGUCACACCAUGGGAGUUGAUUUCACUCGAAGCCGGAAUACUAAACUAGUUACCGUCCACAGUGGAAUCAGCGACUGGGGUGAAGUCGUAACAAGGUAACCGUAGGAGAACCUGCGGUUGGAUCACCUCCUUUCUA
RNAcentral lists this ribosomal RNA (854 nucleotides) under Campylobacter jejuni. RNAcentral's name for it is "bacterial SSU rRNA". It matches the Rfam family "Bacterial small subunit ribosomal RNA", at positions 679 to 1533 of the family's 1533-position model. The record is from RNAcentral. Lineage: Bacteria; Pseudomonadati; Campylobacterota; Epsilonproteobacteria; Campylobacterales; Campylobacteraceae.